This 123-nucleotide ribosomal RNA is filed under the name Lactiplantibacillus plantarum. RNAcentral's name for it is "Lactobacillus plantarum partial 23S ribosomal RNA". It matches the Rfam family "Bacterial large subunit ribosomal RNA", at positions 1 to 118 of the family's 2925-position model. Lineage: Bacteria; Bacillati; Bacillota; Bacilli; Lactobacillales; Lactobacillaceae. The record is from RNAcentral.
AAAUGAGGUUAAGUUAACAAGGGCGCAUGGUGAAUGCCUUGGCACUAGGAGCCGAUGAAGGACGGGACUAACACCGAUAUGCUUCGGGGAGCUGUACGUAAGCUAUGAUCCGGAGAUUCCAAA